CGAAUACGAGACGCUACGGCGUCGAAGUAGUGUAUGUCAUACUUCCAAGAAAAGCUUGCACUGUCAUAAAUAAAAAUGCCUGUACCAUAACGGACACAGGUGGGUAAGUAGAGUAUACUAAGGGGCGCGAGAUAACUCUCUCUAAGGAACUCGGCAAAGUAACUCCGUAACUUCGGGAGAAGGAGUGCCUUAUUUAAAUAAGGUUGCAAUAACAAGAUCCAAGCAACUGUUUACCAAAAACACAGGUCUCCGCUAAGUCGUAAGACGAUGUAUGGGGGCUGACGCCUGCCCAGUGCCAGAAGGUUAAAGAAGUUGGUUAGCAUCUGCGAAGCUGGUAACUGAAGCCCUGGUGAACGGCGGCCGUAACUAUAACGGUCCUAAGGUAGCGAAAUUCCUUGUCGGGUAAGUUCCGACCCGCACGAAAGGCGUAAUGAUUUGGAUACUGUCUCGGAGAGGGGCUCGGUGAAAUAGACUUGUCUGUGAAGAUGCGGACUACCUGCACCUGGACAGAAAGACCCUAUGAAGCUUUACUGCAACUUGAAAUUGAAAUUGGACUUUAUUCGCGCAGUAUAGGUGGGAGGCGUUGAAAAUACUCUUGCGGGAGUAUUGGAGCUAUCAGUGAGAUACCACUCUUAUAAUGUUAGAUUUCUAACUUUGAACCAUUAUCUGGUCAAAGAACAGUUUCAGGCGGGCAGUUUGACUGGGGCGGUCGCCUCCCAAACGGUAACGGAGGCGUACAAAGGUUUCCUCUGAACGGAUAGAAAUCGUAUCUAGAGUAUAAAGGCAUAAGGAAGCUUGACUGUGAGACCUACAAGUCGAGCAGGGACGAAAGUCGGUCUUAGUGAUCUGACGGUACUGAGUGGAAAGGCCGUCACUCAACGGAUAAAAGUUACUCUAGGAUAACAGGCUGAUCUCCCCCAAGAGUUCACAUCGACGGGGAGGUUUGGCACCUCGAUGUCGGCUCAUCGCAUCCUGGGGCGGUAGUACGUCCCAAGGGUUGGGCUGUUCGCCCAUGAAAGCGGUACGCGAGCUGGGUUCAGAACGUCGUGAGACAGUUCGGUCCAUAUCCGGUGUAGGCGUUAGAAUAUUGAGAGGAGCCUUCUCUAGUACGAGAGGACCGAGAAGGACAUACCUCUGGUGUACCAGUUAUCGUGCCAACGGUAAACGCUGGGUAGCUAUGUAUGGAGUGGAUAACCGCUGAAAGCAUCUAAGUGGGAAGCCCACCUCAAGAUAAGUAUUCUCAUCA
Molecule: ribosomal RNA, 1246 nt
Filed under: metagenome
Description: bacterial LSU rRNA
Rfam family: Bacterial large subunit ribosomal RNA
Source: RNAcentral